GAAGAAGGCCGUUCGGGUACGUAAAGCUCUGUUGGACGGGGGAAAAAAGGCAGCAUCAGGAAAUGGGUGCUGACUGAUGGUCGCCCCCGCCAGAAAGUCACGGCUAACUACGUGCC
RNAcentral lists this ribosomal RNA (116 nucleotides) under uncultured bacterium. Its description in RNAcentral is "partial 16S ribosomal RNA". The record is from RNAcentral.